RNAcentral lists this transfer RNA (75 nucleotides) under Thermoanaerobacterales bacterium. RNAcentral's name for it is "tRNA-Ile". It matches the Rfam family "tRNA". From Rfam's summary of the family: Transfer RNA (tRNA) molecules are approximately 80 nucleotides in length. Lineage: Bacteria; Bacillati; Bacillota; Clostridia; Thermoanaerobacterales. The record is from RNAcentral. RNAcentral also lists the same sequence under 2 other names.
GGGCCCAUAGCUCAAGGGUAGAGCACUCGGCUCAUAACCGAUCGGUUCCAGGUUCGAAUCCUGGUGGGCCCACCA